RNAcentral lists this unclassified non-coding RNA (375 nucleotides) under uncultured Gammaproteobacteria bacterium. Its description in RNAcentral is "contains 16S-23S intergenic spacer region". The record is from RNAcentral. Lineage: Bacteria; Pseudomonadati; Pseudomonadota; Gammaproteobacteria.
UCCGGUUCAUCACCGGCGGUCUCCUUAGAGUCCCCAACUUAAUGAUGGCAACUAAGGACAAGGGUUGCGCUCGUUACGGGACUUAACCCAACAUCUCACAACACGAGCUGACGACAGCCAUGCAGCACCUGUCUCUGCGCUCCUUUCGGCACUCCCAACUCUCAUCGGGAUUCGCAGGAUGUCAAGGGUAGGUAAGGUUCUUCGCGUUGCAUCGAAUUAAACCACAUGCUCCACCGCUUGUGCGGGCCCCCGUCAAUUUCUUUGAGUUUCAACCUUGCGGCUGUACUUCCCAGGCGGAGAACUUAUCGCGUUAGCUUCAAUACUGCCUGGUUCCCCAAGCAACAUUUAGUUCUCAUCGUUUACAGCGUGGACUAC